AGAGUUUGAUCCUGGCUCAGAGUGAACGCUGGCGGCGUGCCUAACACAUGCAAGUCGAACGAGAACGGAACUAGCUUGCUAGUUUGUCAGCUAAGUGGCGCACGGGUGAGUAAUAUAUAGUUAAUCUGCCCUGAAGAAGAGAAUAAUUGUUGGAAACGACUUGUAAUGCUCUAUAUGCCUUUAUCACAUAAGUGAGCAAGGGAAAUAUUUAUAGCUUCGGGAUGAGACUGUACGGUAUCAGCUAGUUGGUGAGGUAAUGGCUCACCAAGGCUAUGACAUCUAACUGGUUUGAGAGGAUGAUCAGUCACACUGGAACUGAGACACGGUCCAGACUCCUACGGGAGGCAGCAGUGGGGAAUAUUGCACAAUGGAGGAAACUCUGAUGCAGCAACGCCGCGUGGAGGAUGACACAUUUCGGUGCGUAAACUCCUUUUAUUAGGGAAGAUAAUGACGGUACCUAAUGAAUAAGCACCGGCUAACUCCGUGCCAGCAGCCGCGGUAAUACGGGGGGUGCAAGCGUUACUCGGAAUCACUGGGCGUAAAGAGCAUGUAGGCUGAUUAGUAAGUUGGAAGUGAAAUCCUAUGGCUCAACCAUAGAACUGCUUCCAAAACUGCUUAUCUAGAGUAUGGGAGAGGUAGAUGGAAUUUCUGGUGUAGGGGUAAAAUCCGUAGAGAUC
Molecule: ribosomal RNA, 677 nt
Filed under: uncultured bacterium
Lineage: Bacteria
Description: bacterial SSU rRNA
Rfam family: Bacterial small subunit ribosomal RNA
Source: RNAcentral